AAUUUUAAACCUCAAGGUAAGUUGCUGAUUAACAUCUCCAUUACGUAUUGGUGCAUUUAAUUGGGGGACAGGCACAAUGAAAAGAAGUAUCCGAUUCUCUAAUUUCUUUCAACUCCAGGAAAGCUAUAUAGAACUUCUGCCAGAAUAUAGUACUCUUUGCUUUGUUGAUGCAUCACCUACAUAUGCACUUUAACUGAAAUAUCACUUGCCCUUGUAUUCGGCAGAACUUUCAGGCAUACCACCAGA
RNAcentral lists this unclassified non-coding RNA (246 nucleotides) under Hevea brasiliensis (rubber tree). The record is from RNAcentral. Lineage: Eukaryota; Viridiplantae; Streptophyta; Magnoliopsida; Malpighiales; Euphorbiaceae.